This 177-nucleotide long non-coding RNA is filed under the name Junco hyemalis (dark-eyed junco). RNAcentral describes it as "lncRNA (ENSJHYG00000012890.1)". The record is from RNAcentral. Lineage: Eukaryota; Metazoa; Chordata; Aves; Passeriformes; Passerellidae.
CUGACAUCCUCUCUACAAUCUCUUAGAUUGAUCCAAAUUCCCAACUUUGUUUCCAGAAAUCUGGGGCUUUUCCUGCAUAGGUGAAGAAGAAGCCACCAUCAUGGCAGGCAAGGCAAGAACAGGGAUGAAUGCCUGCUUUUCACACUGCUCCUGACUUACUGCGUUACUGAGGAUAGG